RNAcentral lists this unclassified non-coding RNA (339 nucleotides) under soil metagenome. Its description in RNAcentral is "partial contains 5.8S ribosomal RNA, internal transcribed spacer 2, and large subunit ribosomal RNA". The stretch from base 1 to 120 matches the Rfam family "5.8S ribosomal RNA", at positions 35 to 154 of the family's 154-position model. The record is from RNAcentral.
GAUGAAGAACGCAGCGAAAUGCGAUAAGUAAUGCGAAUUGCAGAAUUCCGUGAGUCAUCGAAUCUUUGAACGCACAUUGCGCCCCCCGGUAUUCCGGGGGGCAUGCCUGUUCGAGCGUCAUUGUCAACCCUCAAGCUCGGCUUGCUGUUGGGACCCCGUCGUUGCUCCAACGGCGGACCCGAAAGACAAUGGCAGAGUCUGCGGGACCCUGGAUGCAGCGAGCUUCUGGCACGCGUCUGGACGGUCUCUGGGCUUGGCCUCCACCAAUCGUCAACCUGUGAUUGACCUCGGAUCAGGUAGGGAUACCCGCUGAACUUAAGCAUAUCAAUAAGCGGAGGA